This 455-nucleotide ribosomal RNA is filed under the name uncultured Thauera sp. Its description in RNAcentral is "bacterial SSU rRNA". It matches the Rfam family "Bacterial small subunit ribosomal RNA", at positions 925 to 1382 of the family's 1533-position model. Lineage: Bacteria; Pseudomonadati; Pseudomonadota; Betaproteobacteria; Rhodocyclales; Zoogloeaceae. The record is from RNAcentral.
ACAAGCGGUGGAUGAUGUGGAUUAAUUCGAUGCAACGCGAAAACCUUACCUACCCUUGACAUGUCUGGAACCUUGGUGAGAGCCGAGGGUGCCUUCGGGAGCCAGAACACAGGUGCUGCAUGGCUGUCGUCAGCUCGUGUCGUGAGAUGUUGGGUUAAGUCCCGCAACGAGCGCAACCCUUGUCACUAGUUGCCAUCAUUUAGUUGGGCACUCUAGUGAGACUGCCGGUGACAAACCGGAGGAAGGUGGGGAUGACGUCAAGUCCUCAUGGCCCUUAUGGGUAGGGCUUCACACGUCAUACAAUGGUCGGUACAGAGGGUUGCCAAGCCGCGAGGUGGAGCCAAUCCCUUAAAGCCGAUCGUAGUCCGGAUCGCAGUCUGCAACUCGACUGCGUGAAGUCGGAAUCGCUAGUAAUCGUGGAUCAGAAUGUCACGGUGAAUACGUUCCCGGGUCUU